GAUGAACGCUGGCGGCGUGCCUAAUACAUGCAAGUCGAGCGAACGGACGAGAAGCUUGCUUCUCUGAUGUUAGCGGCGGACGGGUGAGUAACACGUGGAUAACCUACCUAUAAGACUGGGAUAGCUUCGGGAAACCGGAGCUAAUACCGGAUAAUAUUUUGAACCGCAUGGUUCAAAAGUGAAAGACGGUCUUGCUGUCACUUAUAGAUGGAUCCGCGCUGCAUUAGCUAGUUGGUAAGGUAACGGCUUACCAAGGCAACGAUGCAUAGCCGACCUGAGAGGGUGAUCGGCCACACUGGAACUGAGACACGGUCCAGACUCCUACGGGAGGCAGCAGUAGGGAAUCUUCCGCAAUGGGCGAAAGCCUGACGGAGCAACGCCGCGUGAGUGAUGAAGGUCUUCGGAUCGUAAAACUCUGUUAUUAGGGAAGAACAUAUGUGUAAGUAACUGUGCACAUCUUGACGGUACCUAAGCAGAAAGCCACGGCUAACUACGU
RNAcentral lists this ribosomal RNA (496 nucleotides) under uncultured bacterium. RNAcentral describes it as "partial 16S ribosomal RNA". It matches the Rfam family "Bacterial small subunit ribosomal RNA", at positions 28 to 506 of the family's 1533-position model. The record is from RNAcentral.